UUGGAGUGUCAAGUUAAGAGCUUGACUGAGCGACAGACAAGUGUCUCCCUUCUCGAUCUCCCGCAACUUGCCACAGGUAUGUGCUCCACCUGCUGAUUCAUGGCAGGGUAAAACCACAGCUUUGAGACCAGUUGCUAAGAAAAAAUGGACUUACAGGUGAUGGCGGCAACCAGGAAGCACGCAACGAAGAGCGGUGGCUUCAUCUCCAUCAUCCGUACAAGACAAAAGGUACGAAGUUUUAUCUUCCUCUCGUUCUUAAGUCGUGGAUUUUAUAGAGGUUUGUAAGCGAAUGCUGUUUUUUUGCAGGCGGCGGCCGUGAGAAUCUGGCAAUAGAGUAAGCGAGCUCGCGAAGCUGUUAAGUUGGAGAAGAGGAGAAGAGAGAAUCAUCUUGCGGAAGCAUUGAAUCUGGGCAGUGUUUUUUGCGACAAAGGUUCCAAAAACUGGGACGAUGGAUUGGUAAGAUUUUUGGAUCCACACUGUCUGUCCGCAGCUGUUCAAACACUGUGGGUUUGACAAGUGUUGGAUGUUCGUAGCGCUGCUGCUCAAUCCUUUUCUUCCUCCAGGUUUGUUGUAUUGUUUGCUUUGCUGAGGAAAAAACAAUUCGAUGAACUCCAAACUUCUUAAUGUUUAAUGUAUCCAGGAAUCCAUUUUAACACUAAUCAAGUAUAACAACACUUAAAAGCAAACUAAUCCAGGCUUUAAAAAACUAAUUUAAAAUCUAGUCAUCCAUUUAAACAACGCUUAGGUGAAAUUAAUCUGAUUAAAACAGAAUUAAUCCAGUUUAACUAAAUGCGAGCAUAUACCAGAGCUUGACAGAAAAUAUUCUUAUUU
This 831-nucleotide long non-coding RNA is filed under the name Selaginella moellendorffii. RNAcentral describes it as "long non-coding RNA (SMOE_LNC001476)". Lineage: Eukaryota; Viridiplantae; Streptophyta; Lycopodiopsida; Selaginellales; Selaginellaceae. The record is from RNAcentral.